AGUGAACGCUGGCGGUAGGCCUAACACAUGCAAGUCGAACGGCAGCACAGUAAGAGCUUGCUCUUACGGGUGGCGAGUGGCGGACGGGUGAGGAAUACAUCGGAAUCUACUUUUUCGUGGGGGCUAACGUAGGGAAACUUACGCUAAUACCGCAUACGACCUACGGGUGAAAGCACGGGAUCUUCGGACCUUGCGCGAUUGAAUGAGCCGAUGUCGGAUUAGCUAGUUGGCGGGGUAAAGGCCCACCAAGGCGACGAUCCGUAGCUGGUCUGAGAGGAUGAUCAGCCACACUGGAACUGAGACACGGUCCAGACUCCUACGGGAGGCAGCAGUGGGGAAUAUUAGACAAUGGGCGCAAGCCUGAUCCAGCCAUACCGCGUGGGUGAAGAAGGCCUUCGGGUUGUAAAGCCCUUUUGUUGGGAAAGAAAAGCAGCAGGUUAAUACCCCGCUGUUCUGACGGUACCCAAAGAAUAAGCACCGGCUAACUUCGUG
This 492-nucleotide ribosomal RNA is filed under the name uncultured bacterium. RNAcentral describes it as "partial 16S ribosomal RNA". It matches the Rfam family "Bacterial small subunit ribosomal RNA", at positions 29 to 507 of the family's 1533-position model. The record is from RNAcentral.